GGACCCGCACAAGUAGUGGAGCAUGUGGUUUAAUUCGAAGAUACGCGCAGAACCUUACCAACACUUGACAUGUUCGUCGCGACUUUAAGAGAUUAAAGUUUUCGGUUCGGCCGGACGAAACACAGGUGCUGCAUGGCUGUCGUCAGCUCGUGUCGUGAGAUGUUGGGUUAAGUCCCGUAACGAGCGCAACCCUUGUCCUUAUUUGCCAGCACGUAAUGGUGGGAACUCUAAGGAGACUGCCGGUGACAAACCAGAGGAAGGUAAGGACGACGUCAAGUCAUCAUGCCCCUUACACUCUGGGCUACACACGUGCUACAAUGGUACUUACAAUGGGAUGCAAAGAGGUGACUCCUAGCUAAUCCCUAAAAUGUACCUCAGUUCGGAUUGUACUCUGUAACUCGAGUGCAUGAAGCUGGAAUU
This 420-nucleotide ribosomal RNA is filed under the name uncultured bacterium. RNAcentral's name for it is "bacterial SSU rRNA". It matches the Rfam family "Bacterial small subunit ribosomal RNA", at positions 917 to 1333 of the family's 1533-position model. The record is from RNAcentral.